RNAcentral lists this transfer RNA (74 nucleotides) under Pauropus longiramus. RNAcentral's name for it is "tRNA-Ser". The record is from RNAcentral. Lineage: Eukaryota; Metazoa; Arthropoda; Pauropoda; Tetramerocerata; Pauropodidae.
AUGAAUAUAUGAGUCUCUCUCUUAUUGAGCUAUUAAUAUUAAGCCGCUAACUUAAAAAAAGAUUUUUAUCUAUA